Molecule: unclassified non-coding RNA, 178 nt
Filed under: uncultured fungus
Lineage: Eukaryota; Fungi
Description: sequence contains ITS1
Source: RNAcentral
UUGAUUGAUUCAAUCGUGACUCGGACGCAGGGAUGCAGGGUUGCGCGGUCCGCCGGGGGCCCCGACGCCCGAAGGCCGGGUCGCCCCCGAGGCAACUGGGUCGGAUAACAUGGGGUGGGAGGUCGGGCCCGGGGGCCCUCGCUCGGUAAUGAUCCCUCCGCAGGUUCACCUACGGAGA